UGUGAUGUGUCAUGCUGCUGC
RNAcentral lists this non-coding RNA (21 nucleotides) under Mus musculus (house mouse). The record is from RNAcentral. Lineage: Eukaryota; Metazoa; Chordata; Mammalia; Rodentia; Muridae.